CGAACGCUGGCGGCGUGCCUAAUACAUGCAAGUCGAACGCACUCUCGUUUAGAUUGAAGGAGCUUGCUCCUGAUUGAUAAACAUUUGAGUGAGUGGGCGGACGGGUGAGUAACACGUGGGUAACCUGCCCUAAAGUGGGGAUAACAUUGGAAACAGAUGCUAAUACCGCAUAAAACCUAACACCGCAUGGUGUAGGGUUGAAAGAUGGUUUCGGCUAUCACUUUAGGAUGGACCCGCGGUGCAUUAGUUAGUUGGUGAGGUAAAGGCUCACCAAGACCGUGAUGCAUAGCCGACCUGAGAGGGUAACCGGCCACACUGGGACUGAGACACGGCCCAGACUCCUACGGGAGGCAGCAGUAGGGAAUCUUCCACAAUGGACGAAAGUCUGAUGGAGCAACGCCGCGUGAGUGAAGAAGGUUUUCGGAUCGUAAAACUCUGUUGUUGGAGAAGAAUGUAUCUGAUAGUAACUGAUCAGGUAGUGACGGUAUCCAACCAGAAAGCCACGGCUAACUACGUG
RNAcentral lists this ribosomal RNA (517 nucleotides) under uncultured bacterium. RNAcentral's name for it is "bacterial SSU rRNA". It matches the Rfam family "Bacterial small subunit ribosomal RNA", at positions 30 to 507 of the family's 1533-position model. The record is from RNAcentral.